UACGUAGGGAGCAAGCGUUGUCCGGAAUUAUUGGGCGUAAAGCGCGCGUAGGUGGCUUCGUAAGUCCGUUGUGAAAGUCAAAGGCUCAACCUUUGAAAGCCGAUGGAUACUGCGGAGCUAGAGUACGGAAGAGGCGAGUGGAAUUCCUGGUGUAGCGGUGGAAUGCGCAGAUAUCAGGAGGAACACCAAUAGCGAAGGCAGCUCGCUGGGACGUUACUGACACUGAGGCGCGAAAGCGUGGGGAGCAAACAGG
This 253-nucleotide ribosomal RNA is filed under the name uncultured bacterium. RNAcentral describes it as "partial 16S ribosomal RNA". It matches the Rfam family "Bacterial small subunit ribosomal RNA", at positions 524 to 776 of the family's 1533-position model. The record is from RNAcentral.